GUCUAAGUAUAAGCUUUUAUACGGCGAAACUGCGAAUGGCUCAUUAAAACAGUUAUAGUUUAUUUGAUGGUCUUUACUACAUGGAUAACCGUGGUAAUUCUAUGGCUAAUACCUUUAAAUACAGUUCCUCAUGUUGUGACCCAACCAUAAAAUUAUUUUUGUUGCUACUUCAUAACUGUAAUGUUGCUACUGAUAUGAAUCGUAAUGUAAAUAUCUGAUAUGCAAGAUGGUCUUAGGUGACCCCUGUGAAAGAG
RNAcentral lists this non-coding RNA (254 nucleotides) under Myotis davidii. RNAcentral describes it as "Eukaryotic small subunit ribosomal RNA". It matches the Rfam family "Eukaryotic small subunit ribosomal RNA", at positions 57 to 295 of the family's 1831-position model. Lineage: Eukaryota; Metazoa; Chordata; Mammalia; Chiroptera; Vespertilionidae. The record is from Rfam by way of RNAcentral.